GAUGAAGAACGUAGCGAAAUGCGAUAAGUAAUGCGAAUUGCAGAAUUUCUAGUGAGUCAUCGAAUCUUUGAACGCACAUUGCGCCCUUUGGUAUUCCGAAGGGCAUGCCUGUUCGAGCGUCAUUAUCAACCCUCAAGCCUGGCUUGUUGUUGGACCUCAGGUCGCCGCUCCGGUGGACCGGUCUCAAAGACAAUGACGGCGUCCGUGGGACCCUCGGUGCAAUGAGCUUCUUCCAAAGCACGCAUCAGAGUGGGCUCGCGGGGGCCGUCUCCCCGUCAUAUUUUAUCAAGGUUGACCUCGGAUCAGGUAGGAAUACCCGCUGAACUUAAGCAUAUCAAUAAGCGGAGGA
RNAcentral lists this unclassified non-coding RNA (349 nucleotides) under soil metagenome. RNAcentral describes it as "partial contains 5.8S ribosomal RNA, internal transcribed spacer 2, and large subunit ribosomal RNA". The stretch from base 1 to 122 matches the Rfam family "5.8S ribosomal RNA", at positions 35 to 154 of the family's 154-position model. The record is from RNAcentral.